RNAcentral lists this ribosomal RNA (516 nucleotides) under uncultured bacterium. Its description in RNAcentral is "bacterial SSU rRNA". It matches the Rfam family "Bacterial small subunit ribosomal RNA", at positions 28 to 531 of the family's 1533-position model. The record is from RNAcentral.
GACGAACGCUGGCGGCGUGCUUAAUACAUGCAAGUCGAGCGAGGUUACUGUUUCGGAUCCCUUCGGGGUGAAGAAGCUUUAACCUAGCGGCGGACGGGUGAGUAACGCGUGGGUAACCUACCCCAAAGUCCGGGAUAACAGCGGGAAACCGCUGCUAAUACCGGAUGCCUUUACCUUGGGGCAUCUUGAGGUAAAGAAAGGUAACGCUUUGGGAUGGGCCCGCGUCCCAUUAGCUAGUUGGUGAGGUAACGGCUCACCAAGGCGACGAUGGGUAGCCGGCCUGAGAGGGUGGACGGCCACACUGGGACUGAGACACGGCCCAGACUCCUACGGGAGGCAGCAGUAGGGAAUAUUGCGCAAUGGACGGAAGUCUGACGCAGCGACGCCGCGUGAGCGAUGAAGGUCUUCGGAUCGUAAAGCUCUGUCCUUGGGGAAGAAGGGUCUUCGGACUUGACGGUACCCAAGAAGAAAGCCCCGGCUAACUACGUGCCAGCAGCCGCGGUAAGGCUACGUAGA